CAGGCCUAAUACAUGCAAGUCGAACGGUAACAGAAAAAGCUUGCUUUUUGCUGACGAGUGGCGCACGGGUGCGUAACGCGUAUACAUCUACCUUUUACAGGGGGAUAGCCUUUAGAAAUGAAGAUUAAUACCCCAUAGUAUCGCAUGGUUAAAAUUUCGGUGGUAAAAGAUGAGUAUGCGUUCUAUUAGCUAGAUGGUGUGGUAACGGCACGCCAUGGCAAUGAUAGGUAGGGGCCCUGAGAGGGGGAUCCCCCACACUGGUACUGAGACACGGACCAGACUCCUACGGGAGGCAGCAGUGAGGAAUAUUGGACAAUGGGCGCGAGCCUGAUCCAGCCAUGCCGCGUGCAGGAAGACUGCCUAUGGGUUGUAAACUGCUUUUAUACGGGAAGAAAACAGACACGUGUAGGUGGCUGACGGUACCGUAAGAAUAAGGAUCGGCUAACUCCGUGCCAGCAGCCGCGGUAAUACGGAGGAUCCAAGCGUUAUCCGGAAUCAUUGGGUUUAAAGGGUCCGUAGGUGGACAAUUAAGUCAGAGGUGAAAGUCUGCAGCUCAACUGUAGAAUUGCCUUUGAUACUGGUUGUCUUGAAUCAUUGUGAAGUAGUUAGAAUAUGUAGUGUAGCGGUGAAAUGCAUAGAUAUUACAUAGAAUACCGAUUGCGAAGGCAGAUUACUAACAAUGUAUUGACACUGAUGGACGAAAGCGUGGGGAGCGAACAGGAUUAGAUACCCUGGUAGUCCACGCCGUAAACGAUGAGAACUAGAUGUUGGGGGUUCGGUCUCGGUGUCGCAGCUAACGCGUUAAGUGACCCACCUGGGGAGUACGUUCGCAAGAAUGAAACUCAAAGGAAUUGACGGGGACCCGCACAAGCGGUGGAGCAUGUGGUUUAAUUCGAUGCAACGCGAAGAACCUUACCUGCCCUUAAAUGCGAAUGACAGGUUUAGAGAUAGACUUUUCUUCGGACUGGAAACAAGGUGCUGCAUGGCUGUCGUCAGCUCGUGUCGUGAGAUGUUGGGUUAAGUCCCGCAACGAGCGCAACCCUUGUCCUUAGUUGCCAGCACGUAAUGUGGGAACUCUAGGGAGACUGCCGGUGCAAAACCGAGGAAGGUGGGGACGACGUCAAGUCAUCAUGGCCCUUAUGGGCAGGGCUACACACGUGCUACAAUGGCGAAUACAGAGGGUUGCCAACCAGCGAUGGUGCGCUAAUCCCUUAAGGCUCGUCUAGUCCGGAUUGGACUCUGC
This 1243-nucleotide ribosomal RNA is filed under the name uncultured bacterium. Its description in RNAcentral is "partial 16S ribosomal RNA". It matches the Rfam family "Bacterial small subunit ribosomal RNA", at positions 43 to 1308 of the family's 1533-position model. The record is from RNAcentral.